GUCCUCCUCUCGUGUCGUGAGAUGUUGGUUUAUCUCCCGCCACGAGCACCCCCCUUGUCUUUAUUUCCCAGCACGUGAAGGUGGGGACUUUGAGGAGACUGCCGGUGAUAAACCGGAAGAAGGGGGGGAUGACGUCAAAUCAUCGUGCCCCUUAUGAGUUGGGCUACACACGUACUACGGUGGCUGGUACAAAGGGAAGCGAACCUGCGAGGGUAAGCGGACCCCAUAAAGCCCGUCUAACUUCGUAUCGCACUCUGCAACUCGACUGCGUGAAGUCAGAUUCUCUAAUAAUCGCAUAUCAAAAUGCUG
Molecule: ribosomal RNA, 309 nt
Filed under: Bacillota bacterium
Lineage: Bacteria; Bacillati; Bacillota
Description: bacterial SSU rRNA
Rfam family: Bacterial small subunit ribosomal RNA
Source: RNAcentral